GGAGGUAGUGACAAUAAAUCACAAUGCGGAACUAUUAGUUUUGCAAUUGGAUUGAGAACAAUGUACAAAUGUUAUCGAUAAACAAUUGGAGGGCAAGUCUGGUGCCAGCAGCCGCGGUAAUUCCAGCUCCAAUAGCGUAUAUUAACGUUGUUGCAGUUAAAAAGCUCGUAGUAGAAUUGAAGUGAACUUGGGUUGAUGUGAUCUUCGGAUGACAUGAAUCAAAGUUGACUCUUUCCAAAGUCAAUACAUUGGUAUUCAUUUAUCUUUGUAUUGUGUUUGGUCAUUUACUGUGAGAAAAUUAGAGUGUUCAAAGCAGACGUUUGUUUGAAUACAUUAGCAUGGAAUAAUCAUAUAUGGCUUUCAUGUUGAUUUGAUUGGUUUGAAUAUGGAAGCAAGAUUAAAAGGGACAGUUGGGGGUAUUCAUAUUCAAUAGUCAGAGGUGAAAUUCUGGGAUUUAUGGAAGAUGAACAAGUGCGAAAGCA
RNAcentral lists this ribosomal RNA (482 nucleotides) under Blastocystis sp. subtype 4. Its description in RNAcentral is "SSU rRNA". It matches the Rfam family "Eukaryotic small subunit ribosomal RNA", at positions 460 to 953 of the family's 1831-position model. The record is from RNAcentral. Lineage: Eukaryota; Bigyra; Opalinata; Blastocystidae.